UGUUUUUCUUUUUUCAAUUUCAAUUAAUUGUUGACAGUUUUUCUUCAGUUUUUUUUUCUUUACUUUAAUUUAUUUCCCUGUUGAUUAAUUAUCGCUGAUGAUGACUAAUUGGAUAAUCGUUUUGAUGGUCAUUUGAUAAUCGAUUUUCUUUUUUCUUCUCUCUCACCUUUGCUUCUCGACGAUUCCAGCUAAUUCUGUUGAUCUUUGUAACCAUUUUCCUUGAGAAAUUAAAUCUCUCCACCGCUGUGCUAACAAGGACUACAAACCAUUUUCCUCUCUGGAUAAUCAAUCAAUCUUGCUACUCCUUUUUUCAAUAUAUCUAAGGUCUGAUCAAUACCUGAAACAUUACAUCAAUUAACCACAAUGAACACACUUUCUACCAACAAUUCUCAACAAUCUGACCAGUUUUCAAAUUCUCACGUUUCUAUUUCUUCAACUUCACGUACUGACAUUUUCCUCUUCCUCCUCUCUCUCUCUGAGGUUAUUUGCAUAAGCGGAAAGAUCGUGUUGGAAUAAGAUGGUAACGAAUAUGAUGAACAAAAAAAAGUAACAAAUCAAACAAAAUUACGAUGUAAUAAUCGUUGUCCUGUUUAAAAAUGGAAACAAAUCAACGCCCUUGGAAAUUUAUCCUUCUACCAGUGAAAACGAACCAAAGAAAAUCUUUACUCAAGUAACUAGUCUCAUUUGGUGGGUGAUUAAGAUGUCCAAUGUAUUAAUCACUAAGUGGAUUAGAAAUGGAAACUUAAGUCUCUCCCUCUCUCAUUAUCAAGAAAAUGAUCAAUCAAUAUCACCAAUGAUAAUAAAUUGGUCAACAUUAGGUCUUCCAUCACUAAGUUGAUUCAAUUUUUGGAUUAAAAUGCAAUUGAUUGGCUGAAAAAAGUUCCACCAUGAGAAUAUGCAUCCGAAGGAUAAAUGGAGCAAAACAACAAGACAAUAAGGAAAAAUCUCUGAUGUUCUUUCAAGAUGCUUCUUCUCAUGUAGUACCUUAAAUUGCCAAUUCCUCCAUCAUCAGCAUCGUUUAAAUUUGCUUCUCAUCAUCAUUUACAUCCAAAGAGAAAUUCUUUAAUAUAAUCAAUUGAUCGAUACAUUGAUUGAACAUUUUUAAAUGACCAUUGACUCGAGGCCCAUAGGAAGAUCACACAAUGAGAGGAAAAGAUAGAGAAAAUCGUUAAUGAUGUUGGAUUUUUACUAUUUAAUUAUCGUUAAUCUGAUGAAUGGAACAUUUGUGAAAUUUUCGAGAGAAAAACAUUAAACAAGAUUAAAAAGUUAGGUAGAAAAAUCGAUUGAUUUUCUAUUCCCCAAUCAGAAUUUUUUCCCCUUUUUUCCCUAUUUACCUGAGAAGAUGAAAGGAGAAGGCGGAAAAUGGAAACAUGAAGAUGCAGAUCAAGUCAAAAAUAGAAUCAAGAAAUGAUGAGGAAAAUGCGAAUAAGAAGAAAAUAGGAAAAUACACAUGGAUUAAUAUCACUCAAAUUCGAAGGUAGAUGAUAAUUGGCAAAAAAGAAUCACUAUUGAAUUAUGCAAGAGAUGAUGAGGAUGAUCAAAUCAUAUCGAAUUAAAUUAGUUCUGCUUUAUUUCAAUAUCAUAAUAAUAGAUUAUUUUCUAUCGUAGAAAAGUUUCAGAAAGAGAGAAACCUGAGUCUCUUUACAUGAUUUCUUUUGUAUAUUUGUUACACUCUUUGAUCAUCGAGAUUUCAUAUUUCACUCAUCUUCAUUUUCUCACUCACUCAUUCACUCUCUCAUUAUAAUGCUGAUUAAAUGCUAAAAAUACUACAUAAUAAAGGAGAGAAAGAGUUGAAGAAAAAAAUCUUCGAAGAUGAAGGUUGAAGACUUAUCACUUUCAUCUUUUUUUUUUUCUCUUUUUUC
Long non-coding RNA from Panonychus citri (citrus red mite), 1862 nucleotides. RefSeq lists it as uncharacterized. NCBI's taxonomy places the organism in Eukaryota, Metazoa, Arthropoda, Arachnida, Trombidiformes, Tetranychidae. The record is from RefSeq and is a predicted model, not a curated record. The transcript has 6 exons.